This 292-nucleotide ribosomal RNA is filed under the name Salmonella enterica subsp. enterica serovar Weltevreden. Its description in RNAcentral is "partial 23S ribosomal RNA". It matches the Rfam family "Bacterial large subunit ribosomal RNA", at positions 563 to 755 of the family's 2925-position model. The record is from RNAcentral. Lineage: Bacteria; Pseudomonadati; Pseudomonadota; Gammaproteobacteria; Enterobacterales; Enterobacteriaceae.
CGUACAAGCAGUGGGAGCCCCACCACCAAAGCAUUCUCUGGUGUUGAAGGCCCUGCAAAGCAGCAUCGCGGUGGCGGAGCGUCGUUUGCGACGCCCAACACACAAAACAAGCGGUGAGUGCUUUGGGGUGGGGUGACUGCGUACCUUUUGUAUAAUGGGUCAGCGACUUAUAUUCUGUAGCAAGGUUAACCGUAUAGGGGAGCCGGAGGGAAACCGAGUCUUAACCGGGCGUUAAGUUGCAGGGUAUAGACCCGAAACCCGGUGAUCUAGCCAUGGGCAGGUUGAAGGUUGG